UCCGGUUUGACACCGGCAGUCUCGCUAGAGUACCCGACAUUACUCGCUGGCAACUAGCGACAAGGGUUGCGCUCGUUAAGGGACUUAACCCGACACUUCACAGCACGAGCUGACGACAGCCAUGCAGCACUUGUGCUUGUUCCACCCUUGCGGGUGUGGCUCCUGUUUCCAGGAGUUAAUCCAAGCAUGUCAAGCCCAGGUAGGGUUCUUCGCGUUGCAUCGAAUUAAUCCGCAUGCUCCGCCGCUUGUGCGGGCCCCCGUCAAUUCCUUUGAGUUUUAGCCUUGCGGCCGUACUCCCCAGGCGGGGCACUUAAUGCGUUAGCUACGGCGCGGAAAACGUGGAAUGUCCCCCACACCUAGUGCCCAACGUUUACGGCAUGGACUAC
This 386-nucleotide unclassified non-coding RNA is filed under the name uncultured bacterium. RNAcentral's name for it is "contains 16S-23S intergenic spacer region". The record is from RNAcentral.